GAACGGUAUCUUUCCGAAAACCGGCUCGCCGUGAGACGCGGGCCUCAGGAUGGCGCUGCGGCCGAUUAUGCUUGAUGGCGGUGUAACGGACCACCAUGGCGACGAUCGGUAUGGGCGAUGGAAGUCGGAGCCCAGAGUCGGCCACUGAGACAAGGGGCCGAGCCUUACGAGGCUUAGUGGUCGCGAAACCUCGCCAAUGCACGAAAGUGUGAGUGGGCCACUCCAAGUGCCAUUCUUACGGAUGGCUGUCGCUCAGUAUAACAAGCUGAGAAAGGAAGGAGAGGGCAAGGCUGGUGCCAGCCGCCGCGGUAAAACCAGCUCUUCGAGUGGUCAGGACGAAUAUUGGGUCUAAAGCGCUCGUAGCGGGGCAAGUGGGUUCUUGGUUAAAUCCGACAGCAUAACUGCCGGACUGCUGAGAAUACCGCUAGCCUUGGGAGCGGGAGAGGACAGAGGUAGUCAUGGGGCAGGGGUGAAAUCCAGUGAUCCCAUGGCGACCACCGAUGGCGAAGGCAUCUGUCUGGAACGUAUCCGACCGUGAGGGGCGAAAGCUAGGGGAGCGAACGGGAUUAGAUACCCCGGUAGUCCUAGCCGUAAACGAUGCAGACUAGGUGUUGCAAUGGUCAAGAACCGUUGCAGUGCCACAGCGAAGGCGUUAAGUUUGCCACCUGGGGAGUACGUACGCAAGUAUGAA
Molecule: ribosomal RNA, 691 nt
Filed under: uncultured archaeon
Lineage: Archaea
Description: bacterial SSU rRNA
Rfam family: Archaeal small subunit ribosomal RNA
Source: RNAcentral